CGGCAACAUCACGUUGAAACACUGGUUUCCGUACUAUUAUCGAAGUUAAGCAACGUCGAGCCUGGUUAGUACUUAGAUGGGUGACCGUUUGGAAAUGCCAAGUACUGUAAG
This is a non-coding RNA of Acanthosepion pharaonis, 111 nucleotides long. NCBI's taxonomy places the organism in Eukaryota, Metazoa, Mollusca, Cephalopoda, Sepiida, Sepiidae. The record is from the annotation of a GenBank genome assembly.